RNAcentral lists this ribosomal RNA (241 nucleotides) under uncultured bacterium. RNAcentral describes it as "partial 16S ribosomal RNA". It matches the Rfam family "Bacterial small subunit ribosomal RNA", at positions 91 to 334 of the family's 1533-position model. The record is from RNAcentral.
CUAAGUGGCGGACGGGUGAGUAAUGUAUAGUUAAUCUGCCCUUUAGAGGGGGAUAACAGUUGGAAACGACUGCUAAUACCCCAUACUCCUUUUACAUUAAUUGUAAUUGGGAAAUGUUUUUUCGCUAAAGGAUGAGACUAUAUGGUAUCAGGUAGUUGGUGGGGUAAGAGCCUACCAAGCCAAUGACGCCUAGCUGGUCUGAGAGGAUGAUCAGCCACACUGGAACUGAGACACGGUCCAG